UUAUUUGAAGUUGAAAGAAAAUCAUAUUGAUUUAAAAAAUAAAUAAAUAAAAGGGAACAGGCGACACAUCUGGAAAAGAGAGUCAAAGAGUGCUUGAAAUUGUCGGAAGGGAAGCGGAUGGGGGCCGGCGAUGCGCCUCGGUGGGAUGCGGAAUGGUGAGAGCUAGUCUGCCGAUCAACUCGGGGCACAGAACGAUGUGAAUUGCAACGGCAGCCUAAGCCCGGGCUGUAAAUAUGCCCACGGAGACGUCAUAGCCGUGAUCGUGGUGGGCAACGCGCGCCAUCACGGCGUGCUUUGGCACCUGCGCGCUCUUGGCGUCGGCUUGUGGGCUCCCCAUUCGACUCGUCUUGAGACAUGUACCAAAGAGUCUAAUAUGUGUGCAAGUCAACGGACUAGUAAACCAGUAAGGCGCAAGGAAGCUGAGUGGCGGGAUCCCUAUGUGCACCGCUAACCAACCUUAUCGAGUGAGAGCAUGCUUGUCGGGACCCGAAAGAUGGUGAACUAUGCCUGAGCGGGGCAAAGCCAGAGGAAACUUUGGUGGAGGCCCGCAACGAUACUGACGUGCAAAUCGUUCAUCUAACUUGGGUAUAGGGGCAAAAGACUAAUCGAACUGUCUAGUAGCUAGUUCCCUCUGAAGUUUCCCUCAGGAUAGCUGAAGCCCGCAGAUGAGUUCUAUAAGGUAAAGCCAAUUAUUAGAGGCAUUAGGGGCCCAACGCCCUCGACUUAUUCUCAAACUUUAAAUAGGUAGGACGGUGUGGCUGCUCCGUUGAGCUGCGCCACAGAAUCGAGAGCUCUAAGUGGGCCAUUUUUGGUAAGCAGGACUGCCGAUGUGGGAUGAACUGGAAGCCAGGUGACGGUGCCCAACUGCGUGCUAACCUAGAACCCACAAAGGGUGUUGGUCGAUUAAGACACCAGGACUGUGGUCAUGGAAGUCAAAAUCCGCUAACGAGUGUGUAACAACUCACCUGCAAAAUCAGCUAGCCCCGAAAAUGGAUGGCACUAAAGCACAUGACCUAUACCCGAUCGUCGGGGCAAGAGCUAGGCCCCAAUGAGUAGGAGGGCACAGCGGUCGCUGUAAAACCAUGGGCUCAAGCCUGGGCGAUGUGGCUGUCGGUGCAGAUCUUGGUCAUAGUAGUAAAUAUUCAAAUGAGAACUUCGAAGGCUGAAGAGGGGAAAGGUUUCAUGUGAACAACACUUGCGCAUGGGUUAGUCGAUCCUAAGAAAUAGGGGAAGCCUGUCUGACAGCGCGUAUUUCAAAAGGGAAUCGGGUUAAAAUUCCUGAAUUGAGACGUGGCGGCUGACGACAACGUUAGAGAGUCCAGAGACAUCAGUAGGGCCUCGGGAAGAGUUAUCAUUUCUAUUUAAAAGCCUGCCCACUUUGGAAACGGCUCAGCCGGAGGUAGGGUCCAAUAGCUGAAAUAGCACCGCACAUCGCGUGGUGUCCAGUGCACCCCCAACGGCCCUUGAAAAUCUGGAGGACCGAGUACCUCCCACGUCCGAUCAUACUCAUAACAGCAUCAAGUCUCUAAGGUGAACAGCCUCUAGCCAUGGAACAAUGUAGGCAAAGGAAGUCGACAAAAUGGAUCCGUAACCUCAGGAAAAGGAUUGGCUCUGAAGGUUAGGUACAAGGGUCCCAGUCUCGAACCCGUCUGCUGUUAAUGGACUAUUCGAGCUGCUCUCGUGGCGAGAGCGAGUCUCCGCCUGUUCGCCGAGGGACGGACUGGGAAAAGGUCCCUUCGGGGGCCCUUCCCCGGUCAUUGAACAGUCAACUCAGAACUGGUAUGGACAAGGGGAAUCUGACUAUUUAAUUAAAAUAAAGCAUUGCGAUGGUCCCUGUGGAUGCUCACGCGAUGUGAUUUCUGCCCAGUGCUUUGAAUAUCAAAGUGAAAAAAUUCAACCAAGCGCGGGUAAACGGCGGGAGUAACUAUGACUCUCUUAAGGUAGCCAAAUGCCUUGUCAUCUAAUUAGUGACAUGCAUGAAUGGAUUAACAAGAUUCCCACUGUCCCUGUCUAUGAUCCAGCAAAACCACAGCCAAGGCAACGGGCUUGGCAGAAUCAGCGGGGAAAGAAGACCCUGUUGAGCUUGACUCUAGUCCGACUUUGUGAAAUGACUUGAGAGGUGUAGUAUAAGUAGGAGUCAGAAAUGGUGAAAGUAAAAUACCACUACCUUUAACGUUAUUUUAUUUAUUCCAUGAAUCAGAAGUGGGGCACUGCCCCUCUUUUUGGACCCAAGGCCUGCCUCGGUGGGCCAAUCCAGGUGGAAGACAUUGUUAGGUGGGGAGUUUGGCUGGGGCGGCACAUCUGUUAAAAGAUAACGCAGGCGUCCUAAGAUGAGCUUAACGAGAACAGAAAUCUCGUGUGGAACAAAAAGGUAAAAGCUUGUUUGAUUCUGAUUUUCAGUACGAAUACGAACCAUGAAAGUGUGGCCUAUCGAUCCUUUAGAACUUUGGAAUUUGAAGCCAGAGGUGUCAGAAAAGUUACAUGGAAAGAAGUAGUUGCGUCGCUUGUUCCCUUUUUGAAAAUUAAGUUAAAACUGAAAAUAAGCUGUAAUUUGGAAAAAUAAUUAUUUUUAAAUAUAAUAAAAGCCGACCCGAAAGUAUAUAAGUGUGUCGCCAAUAUUGUUUUAACAAAAUUAAGUACUUGAUACAGAAAAUUAAAAUAGUAUAAGGCGACUCUUUU
Molecule: ribosomal RNA, 2679 nt
Filed under: Ziziphus jujuba (common jujube)
Lineage: Eukaryota; Viridiplantae; Streptophyta; Magnoliopsida; Rosales; Rhamnaceae
Description: eukaryotic LSU rRNA
Rfam family: Eukaryotic large subunit ribosomal RNA
Source: RNAcentral